This 562-nucleotide ribosomal RNA is filed under the name Amazophrynella sp. RCV2244. Its description in RNAcentral is "partial 16S ribosomal RNA". It matches the Rfam family "Bacterial large subunit ribosomal RNA", at positions 1819 to 2597 of the family's 2925-position model. The record is from RNAcentral. Lineage: Eukaryota; Metazoa; Chordata; Amphibia; Anura; Bufonidae.
CGCCUCUUGAACAUUAUAAGAGGUCUAGCCUGCCCAGUGAAAUAAUUCAACGGCCGCGGUAUCCUAACCGUGCGAAGGUAGCGUAAUCACUUGUUCUCUAAAUCAGGACUAGUAUGAACGGCAUUACGAGGGUUAUACUGUCUCCUUUUUCUAAUUAGUGAACUUAAUCUUCCCGUGAAGAAGCGGGAAUAAGCCUAUAAGACGAGAAGACCCUAUGGAGCUUUAAACAAUCUAGCAUUUGCCCACUACCUUGAUUUUUCAGAACCACUAGACCCUGCAUAAUGACUAGAAGUUUUAGGUUGGGGUGACCGCGGAGUAAAAUUCAUCCUCCACAAUGAAGGAACCUUAAUUCUUAACUAAGAUAUACUUAUCUAUGUAUCAACUUACUGACAUCUAUUGACCCAAUAUAUUUGAUCAACGAACCAAGUUACCCUAGGGAUAACAGCGCAAUCCAUUUCAAGAGCCCCUAUCGCCAAAUGGGUUUACGACCUCGAUGUUGGAUCAGGAUAUCCCAGUGGUGCAGCCGCUACUAACGGUUCGUUUGUUCAACGAUUAAAAUCCU